GACGAACGCUGGCGGCGUGCUUAACACAUGCAAGUCGAACGGAAAGGCCCUGCUUUUGUGGGGUGCUCGAGUGGCGAACGGGUGAGUAACACGUGAGUAACCUGCCCUUGACUUUGGGAUAACUUCAGGAAACUGGGGCUAAUACCGGAUAGGAGCUCCUGCUGCAUGGUGGGGGUUGGAAAGUUUCGGCGGUUGGGGAUGGACUCGCGGCUUAUCAGCUUGUUGGUGGGGUAGUGGCUUACCAAGGCUUUGACGGGUAGCCGGCCUGAGAGGGUGACCGGCCACAUUGGGACUGAGAUACGGCCCGGACUCCUACGGGAGGCAGCAGUGGGGAAUAUUGCGCAAUGGGCGGAGGCCUGAUGCAGCAACGCCGCGUGCGGGAUGACGGCCUUCGGGUUGUAAACCGCUUUCGCCUGUGACGAAGCGUGAGUGACGGUAAUGGGUAAAGAAGCACCGGCUAACUACGUG
Molecule: ribosomal RNA, 468 nt
Filed under: uncultured bacterium
Lineage: Bacteria
Description: partial 16S ribosomal RNA
Rfam family: Bacterial small subunit ribosomal RNA
Source: RNAcentral